CCUACGGGUGGCUGCAGUGGGGAAUUUUGGACAAUGGGGGCAACCCUGAUCCAGCCAUGCCGCGUGAGUGAAGAAGGCCUUCGGGUUGUAAAGCUCUUUCGGCCGGGAAGAAAUCGUGCGGGCCAAUACCCUGCAUGGAUGACGGUACCGGAAGAAGAAGCACCGGCUAACUACGUGCCAGCAGCCGCGGUAAUACGUACGGUGCGAGCGUUAAUCGGACGUGCUGGGCGUAAGCCAUGCGCAAGCGGCGAAAUCCCCGGGCUUAACCUGGGAACUGCGUUUGUGACUGUGGUGCUUGAGUGCGGCAGAGGGGGGUGGAAUUCCACGUGUAGCAGUGAAAUGCGUAGAGAUGUGGAGGAACACCGAUGGCGAAGGCAGCCCCCUGGGUCGACACUGACGCUCAUGCACGAAAGCGUGGGGAGCAAACAGGAUUAGAUACCCGAGUAGUC
Molecule: ribosomal RNA, 449 nt
Filed under: uncultured bacterium
Lineage: Bacteria
Description: partial 16S ribosomal RNA
Rfam family: Bacterial small subunit ribosomal RNA
Source: RNAcentral